AGUGUAGGUGGUUGUUCAAGUUGGAUGUGAAAGCCUUGAGCUCAACUCAAGAAAUGCAUUCAGGACUGAGCGACUAGAGGACCGGAGAGGAUAGUGGAAUUCCCAGUGUAGUGGUGAAAUACGUAGAGAUUGGGAAGAACACCAGUGGCGAAGGCGGCUAUCUGGACGGUUUCUGACACUAAGACUCGAAAGCGUGGGGAGCAAACA
RNAcentral lists this ribosomal RNA (207 nucleotides) under uncultured bacterium. RNAcentral describes it as "partial 16S ribosomal RNA". It matches the Rfam family "Bacterial small subunit ribosomal RNA", at positions 568 to 774 of the family's 1533-position model. The record is from RNAcentral.